AUGUAGGCCACACCAUGCCUCAUCCACCAGUUAUCCUUAUCUUACGAUCGACACUCUUCUCCAUCUUCCUCUAAUACUACUUCGGUCACCUUCUACGGCCACCCCAUAUCUCUCCAUCUCUCUUGCCCUCUGUAUCGGUGUUACACUAGUAAAACCUAAACCCACAUUUGAUUUCUCAAUAGUGUAUAACCCUCACCUAGAACAAACCCUAAAUCACUUAGUUAAAUCGAUUUCUUUUUUAAUCACUUAGAAAUCGCCAUCAUGAUGACAACAUGCUCGAUUUCUAGGUUAGAACUCCUCAAGCUCCCUAAUCUUUCAUUUCCUUUGAUUGAUUUGUGGAUUUUAAAUUUACAGAUGCUCAAUCGUUGUCACAGUGAAUAGCAAAUCUUAGGGUUAUGGUGUUGGAUAUCUGGUGAGAGGGAGGGGGGAUGAAGGAUGGAUAACGGGGGUGGGACAAGAGAUGAUGGCGUUAGUGGUGAUGAAGGUGUCAUCUCCGGUAAGAAUCGUAAGUGAAUCGGAAAUUGAGUAACCAUUAACCAAUAAUGAGAUGAUAUCUCUUCUAGAAUGAACAAAUGAUGAAACCCAUACUCAGAUUCAAACCUAUUCCAGAAAAUUGUGUCUGAAGUUCUUGUAACAUGAUGAACCAGAAUUGAGUAACCAUUGACCAACAAUGGAGACGGUGUCUCUUCUAAAUGCACAUAAGAGAAGUCAACCAUGUCAUUAUCUCCCCUUCUUCGACCAGUGGUUUUAAUGAAGGAAGAAGGAGGAUUUUUUUAGAAACACACUUAAACACCAUCAACUCCACCGGAUCAUCAAAUUUGCAUUUAUUCCGUUCACCGGAGAAGAUAACAACAACCAGAAGAAGGUAUGGUCCAAUUCACCUACGAUGUGGUUAUUCUCUUCAUUGGAGAGGUUAACAACAAAAAGAAGAAAUGUUAUGCUUUGUGAGUUGUCCGUUCUGAAACUCUGACGUUGCUUUGAUUCCAAACCCAUAUCAGAAACUCCAAUCUGAAACUCAUAUCUGAAAUUAAGGAGAGUAUUAUCCUCAAUGUUUUAAAACCUUGGUUUUUAGUCGAUCCGGUGUAAUGACCGGUUCACGGGUCGACCGGUUGAACCGCUGGUCAACCUAGUUUAUGAUCUUUUUCUAUUUCUAUAUAUUUUUACUUUCAUGCAUAAUAUAUAAUCAUAUAAAACCAAUAAUUUGAUGUCCACAAAGUUUAAACAUUGAAAAACAUUUA
This 1238-nucleotide long non-coding RNA is filed under the name Lactuca sativa (garden lettuce). Its description in RNAcentral is "long non-coding RNA (LSAT_LNC005331)". Lineage: Eukaryota; Viridiplantae; Streptophyta; Magnoliopsida; Asterales; Asteraceae. The record is from RNAcentral.